UCCGUGGUGGCUCAGUUGGUAAAGAAUCUGCCUGCAAUGCAGGAGACCCAGGUUUGAUCCCUGGGUGAGGAA
Molecule: transfer RNA, 72 nt
Filed under: Bos taurus (domestic cattle)
Lineage: Eukaryota; Metazoa; Chordata; Mammalia; Artiodactyla; Bovidae
Also listed under: 3 other names
Rfam family: tRNA
About the family: Transfer RNA (tRNA) molecules are approximately 80 nucleotides in length. Their secondary structure includes four short double-helical elements and three loops (D, anti-codon, and T loops).
Source: Rfam by way of RNAcentral